Molecule: long non-coding RNA, 1124 nt
Filed under: Homo sapiens (human)
Lineage: Eukaryota; Metazoa; Chordata; Mammalia; Primates; Hominidae
Description: HSALNT0038641
Source: RNAcentral
UUCUUCCUCAGAUGCUCACCCCAGCCCCGCCUGCCCCGUUUACUGAGUGUCAACAGUUGGGUGAGCAAGACUUCUCAGCCCUUAGAUCAGUAUCCUGUGACCUUCCACAUUGAAGCACACACCAUUCAGCCAAGCCUUCCAGCUGUUGCCUGAAUGAUGAUUUUUUUUUUCUCAGAGUCGGGCACGGCUUAGGAAGACACUAGGCAACAGUUUUAAAUUAUGUCCUCGCCACCACCCAGCUCGCUGUGCAGAUCCUGCGGGGGCCUGUGCACAGCCGGGCCUGGUCUAGCCUGGUGAGGAGCUACGUGAGCCAACAGAUAUAUUUUGGGCGGAACUGAGCAGGCCUCGGAAGGAAAGCCAGCCUCUCUGCCCAGCUUCAGAGCCACGACUCUCAGCAGGCUAGCCCUCGUCUAGUUUUAGAGAGGACAGAGGGAACCUGCAUUGGUUCCCUGACUCUUACUGCAGUAAGGGCCUGAGGUCCUCUGCCCCACGUUUCCCUCUGGGCUCCAGACCUUGAGGGCUCUGGGAGAUUCCAGAAUGUCAGGGAAGCAGUUCUGCGUGGAUUCUCCUUUCUGGGCUGGUGUCUAGGCUCCAGCGACGGCAGAGGAGACUGAUGAAAUUUUACAGCCAGCCAACUGCUGCUGGUGUCAGAAGAUUAAAAACAAAGGUCGCACCGAGGCCUGCCUCCCACCGUGCGUCUCCAAGUCUGAGGGGUGGAGUGGGGGAGGAGGCAAAUGGCCCCAAAUAUUUCUCCGUUAAGUACAAAUUACAUACUGGAUAUAUAAAGUUGUAAUGGUGUAUUUUGAGUCUGACUGGUUUCAUGAGAACAUCCAUGUACCCUCCAAAAUGCUGAGACGGUGACACAGGCAAACAAAAAGGAAUUUAAUCCUGACGGAAUGUGUUUUGUUUGAAUUCGGGCACAGCUUCCUUUUAUUUUUUCCCCCUUCUCUUUUUUAUUCUGAGUUCCUCUUCCUCUCUUCUUUCCUCCCUGUAUCCAUCCCAUCAACCCCCACUUGAAUGCUACAAGCAGCAGAAUCCUCUGACAUUGUAUUUGUGGGUUAUUUAUCUUAUGGAGUUGGCCAGAAAGUGUAUAAACAAUUAGCUCAAUAAAACAAUUAGCUCCU